This 393-nucleotide ribosomal RNA is filed under the name uncultured bacterium. Its description in RNAcentral is "partial 16S ribosomal RNA". It matches the Rfam family "Bacterial small subunit ribosomal RNA", at positions 523 to 918 of the family's 1533-position model. The record is from RNAcentral.
AUACGGAGGAUCCGAGCGUUAUCCGGAUUUAUUGGGUUUAAAGGGAGCGUAGGUGGGAUAUUAAGUCAGCUGUGAAAGUUUGGGGCUCAACCUUAAAAUUGCAGUUGAUACUGGUUUCCUUGAGUACGGUACAGGUGGGCGGAAUUCGUGGUGUAGCGGUGUAAUGCUUAGAUAUCACGAAGAACUCCGAUCGCGAAGGCAGCUCACCGGGCCGGAACUGACACUGAUGCUCGAAAGUGCGGGUAUCAAACAGGAUUAGAUACCCUGGUAGUCCGCACAGUAAACGAUGAAUACUCGCUGUUUGCGAUACACGGUAAGCGGCCAAGCGAAAGCGUUAAGUAUUCCACCUGGGGAGUACGCCGGCAACGGUGAAACUCAAAGGAAUUGGCGGGG